AACGAACGCUGGCGGCAGGCCUAACACAUGCAAGUCGAGCGAGGACUUCGGUUCUAGCGGCUGACGGGGGGGUAACGGGUGGGAAUAUGCGCUUCUCUACGGACUAUCCCUUUGAAACUGGGAGUAAUAACGUAUACGACCAAUGGGGGGAAGAUUUAUCGGAGAAGGAUCAGCCGGCGUUGGAUUAGGGAGUGGGUGGGGUAAUGGACUACCAAGCCGGGGAGCCAUAGCUGGACUGAGAGGAUGAUCAGCCACACUGGGACUGAGACACGGCCCAGACUCCUACGAGAGGCAGCAGUGGGGACUCUAAGACUAGGGGGGCAAUCCUGAACCAGCCAGGCCGCGUGAGUGAUGAAGGGCUUAGGGUUGUAAAGCUCUUACAGCUAGGAAGAGAAUGACGGUACCAGCAGAAGAAGCCCCGGCUAACUCCGUG
This 433-nucleotide ribosomal RNA is filed under the name uncultured bacterium. Its description in RNAcentral is "partial 16S ribosomal RNA". It matches the Rfam family "Bacterial small subunit ribosomal RNA", at positions 29 to 507 of the family's 1533-position model. The record is from RNAcentral.